Molecule: ribosomal RNA, 732 nt
Filed under: uncultured bacterium
Lineage: Bacteria
Description: bacterial SSU rRNA
Rfam family: Bacterial small subunit ribosomal RNA
Source: RNAcentral
GCCUUACACAUGCAAGUCGAACGGCAGCACGGGUGCUUGCACCUGGUGGCGAGUGGCGAACGGGUGAGUAAUACAUCGGAACAUGUCCUGUAGUGGGGGAUAGCCCGGCGAAAGCCGGAUUAAUACCGCAUACGAUCUACGGAUGAAAGCGGGGGACCUUCGGGCCUCGCGCUAUAGGGUUGGCCGAUGGCUGAUUAGCUAGUUGGUGGGGUAAAGGCCUACCAAGGCGACGAUCAGUAGCUGGUCUGAGAGGACGACCAGCCACACUGGGACUGAGACACGGCCCAGACUCCUACGGGAGGCAGCAGUGGGGAAUUUUGGACAAUGGGCGAAAGCCUGAUCCAGCAAUGCCGCGUGUGUGAAGAAGGCCUUCGGGUUGUAAAGCACUUUUGUCCGGAAAGAAAUCCUUGGCUCUAAUACAGUCGGGGGAUGACGGUACCGGAAGAAUAAGCACCGGCUAACUACGUGCCAGCAGCCGCGGUAAUACGUAGGGUGCGAGCGUUAAUCGGAAUUACUGGGCGUAAAGCGUGCGCAGGCGGUUUGCUAAGACCGAUGUGAAAUCCCCGGGCUCAACCUGGGAACUGCAUUGGUGACUGGCAGGCUAGAGUAUGGCAGAGGGGGGUAGAAUUCCACGUGUAGCAGUGAAAUGCGUAGAGAUGUGGAGGAACACCGAUGGCGAAGGCAGCCCCCUGGGCUAACACUGACGCUCAGGCACGAAAGCGUGGGGAGCAA